AGAGUUUGAUUCUGGCUCAGAACGAACGCUGGCGGCGUGGAUAAGACAUGCAAGUCGAGCGAGACAGUUCGGGUAGCAAUAUUCGGAAUGUUUAGCGGCGCAAGGGUGCGUAACACGUGGGUAAUUUGCCUUGAAGUGGGGGAUAACUCCGGGGAAUCGGAGCUAAUACCGCAUGUGGCGAUCGGGAGGCAUCUCUCGAUCUCCAACGUUUGGGACCGUAAGGCCUGACGCUUCAAGAUGAACCCGCGGCCUAUCAGCUAGUUGGUGAGGUAACGGCUCACCAAGGCUAAGACGGGUAGCUGGUCUGAGAGGACGACCAGCCACACUGGAACUGAGACACGGUCCAGACACCUACGGGUGGCAGCAGUCGAGAAUUUUUCACAAUGGGCGAAGGCCUGAUGGAGCGACGCCGCGUGGGGGAUGAAUGGCUUCGGCCCGUAAACCCCUGUCAUUCGGGAUCAAUUCCUGCAGUCUAAUAAAUUGCAGGUUGAUAGUACUGAAAGAGGAAGGGACGGCUAACUCUGUGCCAGCAGCCGCGGUAAUACAGAGGUCCCAAGCGUUGUUCGGAUUUACUGGGCGUAAAGGGUGCGUAGGCGGUCAACUAAGUCUGAUGUGAAAUCUUCGAGCUUAACUCGAAAACUGCAUUGGAUACUAUUUGGCUUGAGGAUGGUAGGGGAGACUGGAAUUCUCGGUGUAGCAGUGAAAUGCGUAGAUAUCGAGAGGAACACCAGUGGCGAAGGCGAGUCUCUGGACCAUUCCUGACGCUGAGGCACGAAAGCCAGGGGAGCAAACGGGAUUAGAUACCCCGGUAGUCCUGGCCCUAAACGGUGCAUGUUUGCUGUGAGAGGAAUCGACCCCUUUCGUGGCGAAGCUAACGCGAUAAACAUGCCGCCUGGGGAGUACGGUCGCAAGAUUAAAACUCAAAGAAAUUGACGGGGGCCUGCACAAGCGGUGGAGUAUGUGGCUCAAUUCGAUACUACGCGAAGAACCUUACCUGGCCUUGACAUGCAGGUGGUAGAAGUGCGAAAGCAUGACGACCCCGCAAGGGGAGCUUGCACAGGUGCUGCAUGGCUGUCGUCAGCUCGUGUCGUGAGAUGUUGGGUUAAGUCCCGCAACGAGCGCAACCCCUGCGUCCUGUUGCUACCGGGUCGAAAGAUCCGAGCACUCUGGACGGACUGCCUCGCUUCAACGAGGAGGAAGGUGGGGAUGACGUCAAGUCAGGAUGGCCCUUAUGGCCAGGGCUGCACACGUACUACAAUGCCCGGCACAAUGGGUUGCAACACGGUAACGUGAAGCCAAUCCCAGAAAACCGGGCCCAGUUCAGAUUGUCGUCUGCAACUCGACGGCAUGAAGUUGGAAUCGCUAGUAAUGGCGCAUCAGCUACGGCGCCGUGAAUACGUUCCCAGGCCUUGUACACACCGCCCGUCACAUCAUGAAAGCCGGCUGUACCCGAAGUCGCUGUGUUAACUUAAUUGAAAUAGGUGCCGAAGGUAUGGCUGGUGAUUGGGAUGAAGUCGAAACAAGGUA
RNAcentral lists this ribosomal RNA (1527 nucleotides) under metagenome. RNAcentral describes it as "bacterial SSU rRNA". It matches the Rfam family "Bacterial small subunit ribosomal RNA". The record is from RNAcentral.